UGAUGUUGUGAUUUAUUUAGGGUAGUAGGGUUGACGGCAUGUGCCAUCAAGUUGUGAAAUCUUGACCUUUUGCAUGGGGCGCUUUCUCCCAAAGACCCAGCUAGGUUUGGGAUAUUCUCACAACUUUACAGUCAUAAUCAUGGUGUUUGUAUAUUAAUUACUGUCAUCAAUCAUGGAAUUUAGGUGCUGGUUCAGUAUUUUAAAUGGAAUUUCAUGGCGAAGGUGUCUUUGUAGAGUUGGAAGGAAGCUAGGAGGACUCGGGUGGUUGUCCUGAUAUGAGCAUCUAGACAUGAGACUCAUGUCAGG
This 306-nucleotide long non-coding RNA is filed under the name Phoenix dactylifera (date palm). Its description in RNAcentral is "long non-coding RNA (PDAC_LNC002911)". Lineage: Eukaryota; Viridiplantae; Streptophyta; Magnoliopsida; Arecales; Arecaceae. The record is from RNAcentral.